This 478-nucleotide small RNA is filed under the name Sinorhizobium meliloti 2011. RNAcentral's name for it is "putative ncRNA". The record is from RNAcentral. Lineage: Bacteria; Pseudomonadati; Pseudomonadota; Alphaproteobacteria; Hyphomicrobiales; Rhizobiaceae.
AAGGAGAAAGUGUUGACGGGAUAGAAUCGUCGGCCGGGCAGCCGGAGCUUUUAGACGAGCUUGGCGCCAGGGAGUGAUCGAGCCGGAACAACCGGUUGCAACCGUAUCAAGCUUCCGCGGCCGCAGGAAUUCAUCCGCCGUCGCCGCAUUUCCUCCUCCGUAUACUGGUUCGCAAAUUUCCGGCGGUGGCCGGAGUUCUUGAUGGUGAAUUUCACCGGAUGCCCGCAAGCGGGCGCAUUCAUCGGGCCUCUUCCAGAGGUCCAGGACAUUGGCAUUCUUGUUUGGUCUUUGAUGUGACUCAGCAGUAUCGGUCAGAAGUAGAGCGGCCCCGGGACCUUAGCGUUCCGGCUGCCGUCUGGCUGCUGCACCAUCGCUUGCGCCAAACAGGACCUUUUAUAUCCGGCGCAGCCUCCGACGUCUUCGACAGCCUUCUUGAAAAAGGCACUCUGUCUGUCGUCCCGCCGCGCCGAGGAGCACA